RNAcentral lists this ribosomal RNA (474 nucleotides) under uncultured bacterium. RNAcentral describes it as "bacterial SSU rRNA". It matches the Rfam family "Bacterial small subunit ribosomal RNA", at positions 910 to 1382 of the family's 1533-position model. The record is from RNAcentral.
UUGACGGGGCCGCACAAGCGGUGGAGCAUGUGGUUUAAUUCGACGCAACGCGAAGAACCUUACCAGGGCUUGACACUCCCCUGACCGCGUAUGAAAGUACGUUUUCACCCUCGGGUGACAGGGAGACAGGUGGUGCAUGGUUGUCGUCAGCUCGUGUCGUGAGAUGUUGGGUUAAGUCCCGCAACGAGCGCAACCCCUGUGGUUAGUUGCCAGCAAGUAGCGUUGGGCACUCUAGCCAGACUGCCGGUGAUAAAUCGGAGGAAGGUGGGGACGACGUCAAAUCAUCAUGCCCUUUAUGUCCUGGGCUACACACGUACUACAAUGGCCGUUACAACGGGAAGCGAAGGAGCAAUCCGGAGCAAAUCCCUUAAAGGCGGUCCCAGUUCAGAUUGUGGGCUGAAACUCGCCCACAUGAAGGCGGAAUUGCUAGUAAUUGCAGAUCAGCAUGCUGCAGUGAAUACGUUCCCGGGCCUU